UAGAGUUUGAUCCUGGCUCAGGAUGAACGCUGGCGGCGUGCUUAACACAUGCAAGUCGAACGAACCUUCGGGUUAGUGGCGGACGGGUGAGUAACGCGUGAGAAUCUGCCCUCAGGAGGGGGAUAACGGCUGGAAACGGCCGCUAAUACCCCAUAUGCCGAGAGGUGAAAUGAAUUUCGCCUGAGGAUGAGCUCGCGUCUGAUUAGCUAGUUGGUGUGGUAAAGGCUCACCAAGGCUUCGAUCAGUAGCUGGUCUGAGAGGAUGAUCAGCCACACUGGGACUGAGACACGGCCCAGACUCCUACGGGAGGCAGCAGUGGGGAAUUUUCCGCAAUGGGCGCAAGCCUGACGGAGCAACGCCGCGUGAGGGAUGAAGGCCUCUGGGCUGUAAACCUCUUUUAUCAAGGAAGAAGAUCUGACGGUACUUGAUGAAUAAGCCACGGCUAAUUCCGUGCCAGCAGCCGCGGUAAUACGGGAGUGGCAAGCGUUAUCCGGAAUUAUUGGGCGUAAAGCGUCCGCAGGCGGUUUUACAAGUCUGUCGUUAAAACGUGGAGCUCAACUCCAUUUCGGCGAUGGAAACUGUAAGACUAGAGUGUGGUAGGGGCAGAGGGAAUUCCCGGUGUAGCGGUGAAAUGCGUAGAUAUCGGGAAGAACACCAGUGGCGAAGGCGCUCUGCUGGGCCAUAACUGACGCUCAUGGACGAAAGCCAGGGGAGCGAAAGGGAUUAGAUACCCCUGUAGUCCUGGCCGUAAACGAUGAACACUAGGUGUCGGGGGAAUCGACCCCCUCGGUGUCGUAGCCAACGCGUUAAGUGUCCGCCU
RNAcentral lists this ribosomal RNA (820 nucleotides) under uncultured bacterium. RNAcentral describes it as "bacterial SSU rRNA". It matches the Rfam family "Bacterial small subunit ribosomal RNA", at positions 9 to 873 of the family's 1533-position model. The record is from RNAcentral.